GGUGCUUUGGCAGAGAUGGUUCUAUUGCAUCCCGUUGAAGCCGGGAACAUCGUGGUUCGAUUCCACGGGGCACCACCU
RNAcentral lists this transfer RNA (78 nucleotides) under Niastella sp. HX-2-15. RNAcentral describes it as "tRNA-Phe". It matches the Rfam family "tRNA". From Rfam's summary of the family: Transfer RNA (tRNA) molecules are approximately 80 nucleotides in length. Their secondary structure includes four short double-helical elements and three loops (D, anti-codon, and T loops). Lineage: Bacteria; Pseudomonadati; Bacteroidota; Chitinophagia; Chitinophagales; Chitinophagaceae. The record is from RNAcentral.